AGCUCCUGUGGGAGGCCCAAGAAAGGAGAUGAGACAGUUAGUGGAGGAGGAUGGGCUCAGCCAGGCCUAGACUGAGAAGGAUGUGUUCACCUUGACAGGGCCCUGUGCUAAUCACGAGUCUUUCCUGUUCAGAGCAGUGAGGCCUGAGACCCUCAACAGUGCUGCGUGUACAGAAGGCCCCAGAAUCCACACAAAGGUGCCGCCUGAAACCUAGAGCAUUUGUGGAGGAAAAUGGAAGGAACAACUGGAUGUUGUAAAUGUUUCUCAUCUGGCCUGAAAAUCCAUGAAAGCUGGAAAAUCCCAAGGCAUCUGUGCACAUACUGGUGGAUUUUAAUGAGAGUCCUGUGCUUGGAGCACCAGAAAUAAACCAGCUUCAGAAGUAAAGUAAGAAAAGGCCCUUGAUUAUGACACUGGCCCCGGGUAUUACUAUAUGUAGGUGGUAAGUGGACGUUUCUGGGACACCUGUCCUGCAAACUUUCUUUCCACCCUGAGCUGACUUUUGAAUUGUGCCUGACUGAAAAACUUCUAAGGGGAGAGGUGGUUGGGCCCUCCAGGGGUCCUGUGUUUCUCUUAGGGGGACAAUCUCUCCCUAAUUCCAUGUGGUCCUGGUGGUACUCUCCACCAUGCUGCCAUCCUCACUCCCGGGGGGACCAGGGGACAAGGAACCCAGUGGGGCUGGGCCAAUGAGAGUCCCCCGAUCACAAUCCCUGGUUCAAAGAUGGCCAUGUGCCUGAGCAGCUUUGAAACCACAGAGAUGUCAUCUCCUCCCGAGAACGAAGUUAACAGGAGGAGGAAGCAGAGCUAGAGAUGGAACGAGACCCAGCCAGCCCAGGCUCCAGUGACAUCAGCCGGUACAUGCUCUUGUUUGCUUACGCUUGUUAAACGGAGUUUUUCAUAUGUAACUAAUGAAUACUGGCACAUGUAAGUAGUUUCUUAAACUGUUGAUGAAAUGUUUGUUUCUAACACGAACAUGAUCUGGCUCUGUUUGGGACAAAACUUCCCUAAGGGGCUUCAUGAGAUCUAAGGAACCACUGUAGCCAGUGUUUCCCAAAGUGGUCUUGUGAGUUGCUCUGAGGGGAAAAAAAAGUUCCAUGGAUAAAUACAUUUGAGGAGUCUGCCUUUCAGAGGCCUGAAAUGUAAAUAUAUAUAUUAAAGGUUCUGAGAAGUCCUGGAUUACUGUUUGCCCCAGAACUUCUGGAACAGUAUCACCUAUGAAGAUCCACAGAACACACUUUGAAAAACACUCUUAAAUAGGCUAAUAUUAUAAAAUGAGGUUGACUUAUCUUUUAUGUUGGAUCCUGAACAGUUUCUGGUUCAAACUAUUACUGUUGAGUAAUAAUUGUGACAAUAUAACCUGCUUCACAGGGGCCAAAAGUCCACUAUGUAUUGAUCAUAAAGGCUCAAGGAGACACCACUGAGUUCAAAACAGUGAUGUCUGGAUAAGGCAGUAGAUGAGGUUAAGGGUUCCUGUGGUGGUUUAUUCGGUAUGUGAAGAGCCUAACCCUUAGCUGGCCUGUGCUGUUCUCCUUCUGGGUCACAGAACCCAUACAUGACAGGGCAUUGGGAUCUGGAUGAUGGGGUGGGAGAUGCUGGAUUGGUGGUUUGGUUCUCAGGUGGCUCCCCGAGGGGCCACAGUAUGGAAACCACUGGCCUGCUCCUGCCUCUGAGGAAACAGAGCUGGAGGAAAAGAGGUAAAGAUGUAUUUUUCCAAAAUUGUGAUGUCUUACACAGAAUCUUUCUUAGUGCUUCCCCAUCAUUACUGAAGUAUGUAAGGUAGUUUUAAAGCUAUAAAUGUUGCUUCAUGUAUUGGUCUCUUAUUCUCAAGUUGGGGGAAUAGACCCUUGUUCUGGCUGCUCAGCUAAGCCUUUCAGUACAAAUUCAAUUUUAGGGUAAUAGUCAAGGAAUGCCAUGUGCUACGAAAGCAAAAUUAAAUGAGAGAGACCAUUUAGGAAGCAUUUAUUCUUCAUGAAUAAUACAAAUGGGGCCACUAAAUAGUUGCCCUAGUAAAGCUAAGUCCAUCAUUCACUGGACCAUGAGCUGGGGCAGGAUGAAGAUGUAGCUGUGCUCUUUAAACUGUGACCCAGCAGAGCAGCUUAGCACUGGGCAGUCUGGGUCACAGAAGUGACAACAUCAGAAUCUGUGAGGCCAGUGCCUGUGGGGGCUUUCCACAGGAAGAAUGCCCUUUCCCAGGACUAUGCUCAGAGACGUGUGGCCUGCAAAGCGUACUGGCCAGGGGCCCUCUGGUACCAGACAGAUGGCAAAUUCACCCACAUCUCACAGGAUUGUGUGGUUUAUAAGUGCUUGACAUAGGGAGGUGGGGCUGCUGGGAGGGAGGAAUUUCAAACGGAAUUAUUUUUGUAAAUGUAUAACUUACAAAACAACUGGUAGCACAUACUUGGGUUGCUGAAUAGUCCUGUAGUUGGGGACGAGGCCCUCUAGAGGCAUUCUGUCUUACCUGGUCUGGGAAGGUGCUGUUGCUCAGUAUAUGUAGGUGUGUCCCUGCAUGUGCACACAUGUAUGCGUGAGCAUGCACAGGCAGUAUGUAGAUAUUUCAAGCAGAUGUGCCUACAUUUCCACAGCAGCUCUUUCAAACCUGGUUAAUUCUAGUUCUGGCUAUCAUCCCAACCUCCAUCACCUUUAGCAGAUGAGAUGACUGGCCCUCCCAUA
Long non-coding RNA from Chlorocebus sabaeus (green monkey), 2667 nucleotides. RefSeq lists it as uncharacterized. The record is from RefSeq and is a predicted model, not a curated record. NCBI's taxonomy places the organism in Eukaryota, Metazoa, Chordata, Mammalia, Primates, Cercopithecidae.